This is an unclassified non-coding RNA of Macaca mulatta (Rhesus monkey), 148 nucleotides long. It matches the Rfam family "Metazoan signal recognition particle RNA". Rfam says of the family: The signal recognition particle (SRP) is a universally conserved ribonucleoprotein. It is involved in the co-translational targeting of proteins to membranes. The record is from Ensembl. Lineage: Eukaryota; Metazoa; Chordata; Mammalia; Primates; Cercopithecidae.
GCUGGGUGUGGUGGCGCAUGCCUGUAGUCCCAGCUACUAGGGAGGCUGAGACAGGAGAAUCACUUGAACCCAGGAAGUGGAGGCUGCAGUGAGCUGAGAUCAUGCCACUGCACUCCAGCCUGAGCAACAGAGUGAGACUCUGUCUUUA